This 435-nucleotide ribosomal RNA is filed under the name uncultured bacterium. RNAcentral's name for it is "partial 16S ribosomal RNA". It matches the Rfam family "Bacterial small subunit ribosomal RNA", at positions 28 to 507 of the family's 1533-position model. The record is from RNAcentral.
GAUGAACGCUGGCGGUAUGCUUAAUACAUGCAAGUCGAACGAACAGAUCAGGAGCUUGCGCGGACGGGGGUAGCACGGGACGGAAGAGGAAUUUGGGGUUGGGACAACCACUGGAAACGGUGGAUAUUGGCAGACGGGACGUAAGGUAAGAGAGAAUUUGCCUGAAGAUGAGCUCGCGUCUGAUUAGCUAGUUGGUGAGGUAAAGGCGCACCAAGGCAGCGAUCAGUAGCGGGUCUGAGCGGAUGACCAGCCACACUGGGACUGAGACACGGCCCAGACACCUACGGGAGGCAGCAGUGGGGAAUUUUCCGCAAUGGGCGAAAGCCUGACGGAGCAAUACCGCGUGAGGGAAGAAGGCUCUUGGGUUGUAAACCUCUUUUCUUAGGGAAGAACAAAAUGACGGUACCUAAGGAAUCAGCAUCGGCUAACUCCGUG